AAUCGGCGUACAACGAUGGGGACGUGUCCCCGAUGUGGUGCCGAGGGUGGCAAGCCACAGCAAAAGCACCAUCUGGUGGAAAGCUGAAAAAUCACGUGUCGGGCAAUAGGGUUUGGUAGGCUGGCAACAGUUCGAAGAAGUCUGGCCCG
This 149-nucleotide non-coding RNA is filed under the name unclassified sequences. Its description in RNAcentral is "RT-3 RNA". It matches the Rfam family "RT-3 RNA". The record is from Rfam by way of RNAcentral.